UUUUUUUUUUUUUUUUUUUUUUUUCACGGCAAAUUUCGAGUUCAAUUUUUUCAAAAAAAA
RNAcentral lists this non-coding RNA (60 nucleotides) under Chattonella subsalsa. Lineage: Eukaryota; Raphidophyceae; Chattonellales; Chattonellaceae. The record is from RNAcentral.